CUCUCUCUCUCUCUCUCUCGCGUUCUCCCCCUUGUACUGAUAUAUCUCUUUCUAUAUAUAUAUAGUCACUCCGACAGAUACAUAGGUAGAUAUCGCAGCAUUUACUCUCUAUCUAUCUGAAGUCAUAUCAUCAUCUUCUUCUUCUCUAUCUCUGUACUUCUUUAUCUCUCACUUUUUUCUGUGGUGUUGGGUUCAAGAAGGCUGCAAAUGGAUGGUCUGCCCUCUGGCUAUCGCCCCAACGUUGGCGUUUGUCUUAUCAACUCUGAUAAUCAGAUUUUUGUGGCUUCUAGAUUAAAUGUUCCAGGAGCAUGGCAGAUGCCUCAGGUGGUACCAUAUUGAAUAUUGUUUUUUUUUCUUUGAACUUAUGGUCUUUAAUUAUGUUUCGAAAAGUAAUUGCUCAGAAAUGCAGAAAGAUAAUUCAAUUCAUAACCAUAUUUGUUAAGGUUAACUUAAACCUCCACCAUUGUUGUACAGAGGAGGAUUUUGUGUUUAUGCUUCCUCUAUUGAAAAAUUCCUAGGGCAUGCAUCUUUAGGGUUUGUCUGACUGAUCAAAUUGUUAAUUUGUUUUAAUUCCCAACUCUUAGUUAUUCUCAAUACAAGGGGUCUUUGCCCUCAGCAAAGAAAACCCUUCUUGUUAAAUGAAAUAGCCCACUUUCAUGCGAAACACAUCUCUCACUGAUAGAUUACGGGAAUCAAGCAUCUAGAAAGUCUUUCCAUAUGCUGUUGCAUGGAUUUGCUUUGCGUUAUUUUUAUUUUGGCAGGAUACCUUACCAUGUUGUGAGCUGGGUCAAUCGUGGCUUCAUGGAGUUUAGUUGGUUGCAUAAUCUAUAUUCUUCCUCUAUGCUUUUAUUUUUAUUUCACAUGAAUGUAUAAAAAAAUACGGGUAAAGAACUUUUGUGAUGAAUAUAACUUGGUGAUAUUGUAUGCCAAUCUGCAGGUGAACAGAACCUUGCAGUUACCUAGCUUUUAGAGAAGAAGUGGUUGGAUUUCUGAUGCAUAAGUGGGUUUACUUAUACUCUGAGUCAUUGGGGUUCAUUAGAUCACCUUUGCAUUUAGAUUUGGACAAGAAGAGUUCAUAUAUAAUUUAUCAUAGAACUGAAGCUUCAGUUCUUUCAUCAUGCUCUCAUUCUUAAAAUUUUUGCACGUUUUAGCUAAGCUAGUCCAUAUUUGUGAUUGCCUCUUAGGGGGGUAUUGAAGACAAUGAGGAGCCUAGAUCUGCAGCCAUAAGGGAACUACGAGAAGAAACUGGGAUAAUCUCUGCUGAAAUUAUUGCUGAGGUACCAAAUUGGUUGACUUAUGACUUUCCACCUGCUGUGAAGGCCAAAGUGAAUCGUCUGUGGGGAGGUGAAUGGCAUGGGCAGGCACAGAAGUGGUGCGUCUCUCUCUGUCACACACACUCACACGCACGCGCACACACACACAGAUACGCUACAAGCACACAUUGAUUCCAUGAAAGUAUAUUACAUUUUGUCUAACAUAGUGUAAUUAUACAUACAUACAAUAUGACUGUCUACUUCAUAGCCAUGAAUGCGCCAUCUGUGUUUAGACUUAAGACCCGCCUUCUGUGUCAUUCUCUUAAUCCCACUCUUCUGAUCCUAAUCUGACCCCUUUCAAUUCCACUAGAAGCUGCACAUAAGAAUGAUAGAUAUGCACUCCUUGUAUGUGCUGAAUCACCUGGGACUGGCAUGUUGCCCUAUUAAAUGUUUUUUUUUUUUAAAUGACACCAGAAUUUUGCUGCAGAAAAAAGUAGAACUAGUAGUUGAAUUUAGUUAGUAAUGAAGGAAUUGGAUAAAUUUAUGAUUUAUGGAUUUGUGACUUGAAGUUUGUUUCCAUUAAUUGAGUAUAAAAACUAUGCAAAUUGAGCUAUCAAUUCAAUUCAAAUCCUUGUAGAACAUAUAUGCUAACAAAUAUUUUUCCGCUAGGCAAAUUGCACUAGCAGUUGAUUUUGCUUGGUAUUAUGCAUGUAACUAAUCCCAAGAAGGAUGUUCAAGUGACACUUAAAAUAUUAAUAUUUGAGAAUUUCUGGCGGCAUUUUUGAAGUUUGAUCCAAUUUAAGAUUCACAGUGAUUAACUUGGCUGCUUUUAUCUCAGUGAUUUUUGCUUCAUCCGUUUAUAGUGCCAGAGGGUUGUUGUGGACUUGCAAAAUAGACAUAGAAGUUGGAGUUAGCCGGCAUCAAAUUAACACAAAUGCAACUAGCACAUCAAUUAGUUGUUGCAGAAUAUUUGAAUUUUCUGUUUUAGAAGGGGAAAAUUUAAAAAAUUAUUAUAUUCUGUCACUUCCAUUAUAUAAUUUGAGGGGUGAAAAUGAGUUCUCUGGACAAUUGAUAGGUUUCUCAUGAGAUUGACAAAAGAUGAGAGUGAGAUUAACCUGGCAAAUGGCGAAGCAGAUCCAGAAUUUGCAGAAUGGAAAUGGACGAGCCCCGAAGAAGUUGUUGAGCAGGCAGUGGACUACAAGAGGCCAACAUAUGAGGAAGUUGUGAGAACCUUCAGGCCUUACUUCAAUGAGAAGGGAAUUACGAGUAAAUGUAAAUCAUCAAAGUGGUGAAUGGGUGUGGGUGUGCUUUUGUAGGUUUCUCCUUGUUUCUUAUAGUAGUGAAUCUGGGCUUAUUACAACUUUUUCUGUAAAUGGAUGUGGCAGUUGGAAUUUCAAUUUAGAUGGUAGUUGCUUAAUUGUAAUAAAAAUACGUGCAAUCAUAUAUAUUUCAUGGUUUUGUGCAAGUCCCUACAUACUUGGACGUUGGAGAGUUUAUCUUUAGAAGGGGAAAAUUUGAGAAAAAUGAACAGAACUAGACAGGAAAAAGUGCAGCUAUUAUAAGCUCAUCUCCUAGAGAGCAAUAUUUAUAAUUGUUAGAUUAAAUAUUUGUAUAUAGGG
This 2872-nucleotide unclassified non-coding RNA is filed under the name Hevea brasiliensis (rubber tree). Lineage: Eukaryota; Viridiplantae; Streptophyta; Magnoliopsida; Malpighiales; Euphorbiaceae. The record is from RNAcentral.